This 494-nucleotide ribosomal RNA is filed under the name uncultured bacterium. Its description in RNAcentral is "bacterial SSU rRNA". It matches the Rfam family "Bacterial small subunit ribosomal RNA", at positions 28 to 504 of the family's 1533-position model. The record is from RNAcentral.
GAUGAACGCUGGCGGCGUGCCUAAUACAUGCAAGUCGAACGCGCAGCGAAAGGUGCUUGCACCUUUCAAGCGAGUGGCGAACGGGUGAGUAACACGUGGAUAACCUGCCUCAAGGCUGGGGAUAACAUUUGGAAACAGAUGCUAAUACCGAAUAAAACUUAGUAUCGCAUGAUACAAAGUUGAAAGGCGCUACGGCGUCACCUAGAGAUGGGUCCGCGGUGCAUUAGUUAGUUGGUGGGGUAAAGGCCUACCAAGACAAUGAUGCAUAGCCGAGUUGAGAGACUGAUCGGCCACAUUGGGACUGAGACACGGCCCAAACUCCUACGGGAGGCUGCAGUAGGGAAUCUUCCACAAUGGGCGAAAGCCUGAUGGAGCAACGCCGCGUGUGUGAUGAAGGCUUUAGGGUCGUAAAGCACUGUUGUAUGGGAAGAAAUGCUAGAACAGGGAAUGAUUCUAGUUCGACGGUACCAUACCAGAAAGGGACGGCUAAAUAC